Molecule: long non-coding RNA, 490 nt
Filed under: Pan troglodytes (chimpanzee)
Lineage: Eukaryota; Metazoa; Chordata; Mammalia; Primates; Hominidae
Description: long non-coding RNA NONPTRT004819
Source: RNAcentral
GAGUUUUGUUCCUGCUAUUUUGUUUUGUUUUUGAGAUGGAGUCUCGCUCUGUUGCCCAGGCUGUAGUACAGCAGUGCAAUCUGGGCUCACUGCAACCUCUGCCCCCACCCACCGGGGUUCAAACAAUUCUUCUGCCUCAGCCUCUCUGGUAGCUGGGAUUGCAGGCACCUGCCACUAUGCCCGGCUAAUUUUGUAUUUUUAGUAGAGACGGGGUUUCACCAUGUUGGCCAGGCUGGUCUGGAACUCCUGACCUCAAGUGAUCCACAUGCUUUGGCCUCCCAAAGUGCUGGGAUUACAGACAGUUGUGAGCCUCUGUGCUCAACCGACUGACUUUAAUAAGUAAUUGUAAUUUAAAGUUUCAAUAUUUGUUUGUUUUCAGAAAAGUAAUAUCUUUGUGUUUUUUCCUCAAAUUAUAAAAGCAACACAUACUUUUUUUGUGUGAAUAUUUUGGAAGAUAUCCAAAUAGUAUAGAAGUGGAAAGUAGGGAAUA